Molecule: ribosomal RNA, 401 nt
Filed under: uncultured bacterium
Lineage: Bacteria
Description: bacterial SSU rRNA
Rfam family: Bacterial small subunit ribosomal RNA
Source: RNAcentral
GGGGGAUAUUGCACAAUGGGGGAAACCCUGAUGCAGCGACGCCGCGUGAGUGAAGAAGUACUUCGGUAUGUAAAGCUCUAUCAGCAGGGACGAAGAAUGACGGUACCUGACUAAGAAGCCCCGGCUAACUACGUGCCAGCAGCCGCGGUAAUACGUAGGGGGCAAGCGUUAUCCGGAUUUACUGGGUGUAAAGGGAGCGUAGACGGUGACGUAAGUCAGAUGUGAAAGCCCAGGGCUCAACUCUGGGACUGCAUUUGAAACUAUGUUGCUAGAGUGCAGGAGAGGUAAGUGGAAUUCCUAGUGUAGCGGUGAAAUGCGUAGAUAUUAGGAGGAACACCAGUGGCGAAGGCGGCUUACUGGACUGUAACUGACGCUGAAGCACGAAAGCAUGGGUAGCAAAC